Long non-coding RNA from Mauremys mutica (yellowpond turtle), 706 nucleotides. RefSeq lists it as uncharacterized. The record is from RefSeq and is a predicted model, not a curated record. The transcript is spliced from 3 exons. Lineage: Eukaryota; Metazoa; Chordata; Testudines; Geoemydidae.
AGGAGCUGGCCCCGCCCCUGGGCCGUCGCCCGCCCGGCGGCGGAGUCGGGAGGGGGGCGCAGAACGCGGCGCCUCGCUCCCCACCACUGCACGGAUGGGGAAACUGAGGCACGGAGUACGGCAGCGGCAAAAGGCAAUCUGAAAAAUGGGACUUAAUGGAACACUGGCUGCAACCUUUCAUCUGCAAGUGGUGGCUAAGGGGCUCCAGACUAAAGCAACAUCCAUACGAUUAGGGAGAUAAGCUCCUAACUUGUGGGUGUUUCUAAUGCUACAGUGCAGAUGAUGGGAUACUACACAAUCCGACAGAGGAUCAGCUAUGUCCUGGCUGGAGGCAACACAGUUUAUAAACAAGACUAUACCAGAUGGUGAAAGGGAUCCGCUUUUCCAGCCUACAGUGUUCCUUUAUGAUGGCCAUGCACAGAAAAUGAAUAUUCAGACAUCCACAAGAGCACAUUUCUUAACUCAUUCUAUAUGUAAUUGCAAAGAUUGUGGGUUACAAUUACUGACUGCACAUCAAACAUUGAGGUUUAAGGUAGCAACCUGUGCAUUUUUAGAGCAAACUACUGGGUUUGCUUCUAAAGCUAGAAAUGGAAAUGGAAAUAGCAGCUUAACUGGGAAAGAGGCGUACUUUCCAUUUCAAUGCUGACAGUUACCACUUCCAUUCCAGGUUCUGAAGUGAGUGAAGCAGCAGACUUCAGUGUUCUGU